UACGUAGGUGGCAAGCGUUGUCCGGAAUUAUUGGGCGUAAAGCGCGCGCAGGCGGUCUCUUAAGUCUGAUGUGAAAGCCCCCGGCUCAACCGGGGAGGGCCAUUGGAAACUGGGAGGCUUGAGUAUAGGAGAGAAGAGUGGAAUUCCACGUGUAGCGGUGAAAUGCGUAGAGAUGUGGAGGAACACCAGUGGCGAAGGCGACUCUUUGGCCUAUAACUGACGCUGAGGCGCGAAAGCGUGGGGAGCAAACAGG
Molecule: ribosomal RNA, 253 nt
Filed under: uncultured bacterium
Lineage: Bacteria
Description: partial 16S ribosomal RNA
Rfam family: Bacterial small subunit ribosomal RNA
Source: RNAcentral